Molecule: ribosomal RNA, 450 nt
Filed under: uncultured bacterium
Lineage: Bacteria
Description: partial 16S ribosomal RNA
Rfam family: Bacterial small subunit ribosomal RNA
Source: RNAcentral
CCUACGGGUGGCUGCAGUGGGGAAUAUUGGACAAUGGGCGCAAGCCUGAUCCAGCAAUACCGCGUGUGUGAAGAAGGCCUUAGGGUUGUAAAGCACUUUCAAUGGGGAGGAAAACCUACCGGUCAAUACCCGGUAGCUUGACAUUACCUGUAGAAGAAGCACCGGCUAACUCCGUGCCAGCAGCCGCGGUAAUACGGAGGGUGCAAGCGUUAAUGGGAAUUGCUGGUAGUAAGUUGUUCGUAGGCGGUUCGAAAGCCUCGGGCUUAACCUGGGAACUGCAUUUGAAACUGGCGGACUAGAGUUGAGUAGAGGGGAGUGGAAUUUCAGGUGUAGCGGUGAAAUGCGUAGAUAUCUGAAGGAACACCAGUGGCGAAGGCGACUCCCUGGACUCAAACUGACGCUGAGGUACGAAAGCGUGGGUAGCAAACAGGAUUAGAUACCCAUGUAGUC